AAGGCUUUAACUUAAUUAAAGUAUUUGAUUUGCAUUCAAAAGAUGAGGGUUAGUUACCUUCAGGUCUUA
RNAcentral lists this transfer RNA (69 nucleotides) under Allobates aff. tapajos 3 AR-2020. RNAcentral's name for it is "tRNA-Ala". It matches the Rfam family "tRNA". From Rfam's summary of the family: Transfer RNA (tRNA) molecules are approximately 80 nucleotides in length. Their secondary structure includes four short double-helical elements and three loops (D, anti-codon, and T loops). Lineage: Eukaryota; Metazoa; Chordata; Amphibia; Anura; Aromobatidae. The record is from RNAcentral.